RNAcentral lists this ribosomal RNA (472 nucleotides) under uncultured bacterium. RNAcentral's name for it is "bacterial SSU rRNA". It matches the Rfam family "Bacterial small subunit ribosomal RNA", at positions 791 to 1260 of the family's 1533-position model. The record is from RNAcentral.
UAGUCCACGCCGUAAACGAUGUCUACUAGCCGUUGGGGAACUUGAGUCCUUGGUGGCGCAGUUAACGCGAUAAGUAGACCGCCUGGGGAGUACGGCCGCAAGGUUAAAACUCAAAUGAAUUGACGGGGGCCCGCACAAGCGGUGGAGCAUGUGGUUUAAUUCGAUGCAACGCGAAGAACCUUACCAGGCCUUGACAUCCUAGGAAUCCUGUAGAGAUACGGGAGUGCCUUCGGGAAUCUAGUGACAGGUGCUGCAUGGCUGUCGUCAGCUCGUGUCGUGAGAUGUUGGGUUAAGUCCCGUAACGAGCGCAACCCUUGUCCUUAGUUGCCAGCACGUAAUGGUGGGAACUCUAAGGAGACUGCCGGUGACAAACGGGAGGAAGGUGGGGACGACGUCAAGUCAGUAUGGGCCCUUACGCCCAGGGGCUGCACACGUACUACAAUGCCCAGCACAAUGAGAACCAAGACCGCGA